RNAcentral lists this transfer RNA (82 nucleotides) under Microbispora amethystogenes. Its description in RNAcentral is "tRNA-Phe". The record is from RNAcentral. Lineage: Bacteria; Bacillati; Actinomycetota; Actinomycetes; Streptosporangiales; Streptosporangiaceae.
GCGGCUCCCGCGACGGCGCGGCCGUCGCCGGGCCCGAAAGGCUCGGCGACCUGGUCGGGCGGUUCGAGGCCGGGGGCCGCCC